RNAcentral lists this ribosomal RNA (373 nucleotides) under uncultured bacterium. RNAcentral describes it as "bacterial SSU rRNA". It matches the Rfam family "Bacterial small subunit ribosomal RNA", at positions 790 to 1167 of the family's 1533-position model. The record is from RNAcentral.
GUAGUCCACGCCCUAAACGAUGAUCACUCGAUGUUGGCGAUACACAGUCAGCGUCUAAGGGAAACCAUUAAGUGAUCCACCUGGGAAGUACGACCGCAAGGUUGAAACUCAAAGGAAUUGACGGGGGCCCGCACAAGCGGAGGAGCAUGUGGUUUAAUUCGAUGAUACGCGAGGAACCUUACCUGGGCUUGAAAGUUAGUGACAGUCCCUGAAAGGGGAUCUUCCGAAAGGACACGAAACUAGGUGCUGCAUGGCUGUCGUCAGCUCGUGCCGUGAGGUGUUGGGUUAAGUCCCGUAACGAGCGCAACCCCUAUCAUUAGUUGCCAACAGGUCAAGCUGGGGACUCUAAUGAGACUGCCCGCGCAAGCGGUGA